UUCAUUUCAUUUACCCAGUAACAUCGCAUACUGCUACUGGAGGGAUCAUAAUUUGCGGAGGGUGAUAUAUAGGGAUUCACCUAUAUGCAGGGAGGGGAGUGUGUUGAUUCUUCACUGAGAUUCAUAGGAACCAAGAGCAUUCAAAAGGAUAUGAAUCUAAAGAACAAGAAAAUUGAAAUAUAAAUGAAGAAAUAGAACGAGAUACAACAAAACAAAAAGACUAUUACCAGUUGCACACAGGAAAACAAGCUUGAAGUCGCAAGUUUUUAUCUCACCUAUAAAUUAGACUUGUGGAAUUGUAAUUUAAGUUGAACACUUCAAACUAACCAAAGAGAAG
This 337-nucleotide unclassified non-coding RNA is filed under the name Hevea brasiliensis (rubber tree). Lineage: Eukaryota; Viridiplantae; Streptophyta; Magnoliopsida; Malpighiales; Euphorbiaceae. The record is from RNAcentral.